Long non-coding RNA from Pipra filicauda (Wire-tailed manakin), 530 nucleotides. RefSeq lists it as uncharacterized. Lineage: Eukaryota; Metazoa; Chordata; Aves; Passeriformes; Pipridae. The transcript has 2 exons. The record is from RefSeq and is a predicted model, not a curated record.
GGGACCCCCCUGCCCCGCUCUCGGCCGGCGGGGCCGGCUGCUCUCUCUCUACCCUGGGGAGUAGCCUCCAGUUCUGGAUGUGAGAGACAUUAGAAGGAUGUUGUGAAAUAAAACCUAAAGAAGUCCACCGAGAUUCAUCAAUAAAGGAAGGAAUCCAUGGAGGAGCUUCAGUGUUACUGGGAGCCGUGGAAGUGAGGGAAGCCAAAAAGUCUCCUGCCACCUGCUCCCACUUGUGUUGCAGUUCAGUCCACCAGGGAUGGUGGCUUCCUCGGGCUGGUGCCUCCAGCAGUGGCAGGCUGGAGUGGUGUCUAACACACCCGUCAAAGGCUUUGGCGUGGGCACUUCAGUGUCCACCUUUCCUCUGUUUUUCCGUGUUCCUGAUCUAAUCGCACCAACAGAGCAGUCAAAAAUUAACCUCCUUCCACCUGGCCCAAACAGGCUCUUUUAGAAGAGUUUCUGGUGUCUGGCAUCAGCUUUGCCCUACCUUACAUAGACAAGUGCUAAAAUAAAUAUCAUCCUCUUAAAAUGUA